Non-coding RNA from Cherax quadricarinatus, 1596 nucleotides. Lineage: Eukaryota; Metazoa; Arthropoda; Malacostraca; Decapoda; Parastacidae. The record is from RefSeq and is a predicted model, not a curated record.
ACUUGGUCUUUUCUAGCUGGUCUAGUCAGGUGUGGUCGCAGCCAGGAGAGGUCAUAGUCAGGAGUGGUCACAGUCAGGAGUGACUAUAGAUAUGGUCAUAGUCAGGAGUUGUUAUAGAUGUGGUCAUAGUCAGGAGUGGUUAAAGAUGUGGUCAUAGGAGCGGUUACAGAUAUGGUCAUAAUCAGGAGUGGUUAUAGAUGUGGUCAUAGUCAGGAGUGGUUAUAGAUGUGGUCAUAGUCAGGAGUGGUUAUAGAUGUGGUCAUAGUCAGGAGUGGUUAUAGAUGUGGUCAUAGUCAGGAGUGGUUAUAGAUGUGGUCAUAGUCAAGAGUGGUUAUAGAUGUGGUCAUAGUCAGGUGAGGUCAUAGUGAGGUAUGGUCAUCGUUAGGUGUGGUCAUAGUUAAAUGUGGUCAUAGUUAAACGUGGUCAUAGUUAGGUGUGGUCACAGUUAGGUGUGGUCACAGUUAGGUGUGGUCAUAGUUAGGUGUGGUCAUAGUUAGGUGCAGUCAUAGUUAGGUGUGGGCAUAAUCAGGUGUGGUCAUAGAUAGGUGUGGUCAUAGUUAGGUGUGGUCAUAGUUAGGUGUGGUCAUACUCAGGUGAGGUCAUAGCCAGAUGAACUCAUAGCCAGGCGAGGUCAUAGUCAAGUGUGGUCAUAGUUAGGUGUGGCCAUAGCUAAGUGAGGUCAUAGUUAGGUGAGGUCAUAAUUAGGUGAGGUCAUAUUCGGGAGUGGUCAUAUUCGGGCGUGGCCAUUAGUUAGGUGAGGUCAUAGUCAGGCGUGGUCAUAUUCGGGCGUGGUCAUAGGUGUGGCCAUAGUUAGGUGAGGUCAUAAUCAGGCGUGGUCAUAUUCGGGCGUGGUCAUAGUCGGGUGUGGUCAUAGUUAGGUGAGGUCAUAGUCAGGCGUGGUCAUAUUCGGGUGUGGUCAUAGUUAGGUGUGGUCAUAGUUAGGUGUGGUCAUUGUCAGGUUUUGUCAUAGUUAGGUGUGAUCAUAGGUGAGGUCAUAGUCAGGCAUGGCCAUAGGUGAGGUCAUAGUCAGGCGUGGUCAUAAGUGUGGUCAUAGUCAGGUGAGGUCAUAGUCAGGUGAGGUCAUAGCCAGGCGUGGUCAUAGUAAGACGUGGUCAUAGUCAAGUGAGGUCAUAGUUAGGUGAGGUCAUAGUUAAGUGAGGUCAUAGUUAGGUGAGGUCAUAGUUAGGUGAGGUCAUAGUUAGGUGAGGUCAUAUUCGGGAGUGGUCAUAUUCGGGCGUGGCCAUUAGUUAGGUGAGGUCAUAGUCAGGCGUGGUCAUAUUCGGGCGUGGUCAUAGGUGUGGCCAUAGUUAGGUGAGGUCAUAGUCAGGCGUGGUCAUAUUCUGGCGUGGUCAUAGUCGGGUGUGGUCAUAGUUAGGUGAGGUCAUAGUCAGGCGUGGUCAUAUUCGGGCGUGGUCAUAGUCGGGUGUGGUCAUAGUUAGGUGAGGUCAUAGUCAGGCGUGGUCAUAUUCGGGCGUGGUCAUAGUCGGGUGUGGCCAUAGUUAGGUGAGGUCAUAGUCAGGCGUGGUCAUAUUCGGGCGUGGUCAUAGUCGGGUGUGGCCAUAGUUUUGGUGAGGUCAUAGUCAGGCGUGGUCAUAU